RNAcentral lists this ribosomal RNA (488 nucleotides) under uncultured bacterium. RNAcentral describes it as "bacterial SSU rRNA". It matches the Rfam family "Bacterial small subunit ribosomal RNA", at positions 28 to 498 of the family's 1533-position model. The record is from RNAcentral.
GACGAACGCUGGCGGCGUGCCUAAUACAUGCAAGUUGAGCGCUGAAGGUUGGUACUUGUACCGACUGGAUGAGCAGCGAACGGGUGAGUAACGCGUGGGGAAUCUGCCUUUGAGCGGGGGACAACAUUUGGAAACGAAUGCUAAUACCGCAUAAAAACUUUAAACACAAGUUUUAAGUUUGAAAGAUGCAAUUGCAUCACUCAAAGAUGAUCCCGCGUUGUAUUAGCUAGUUGGUGAGGUAAAGGCUCACCAAGGCGAUGAUACAUAGCCGACCUGAAAGGGUGAUCGGCCACAUUGGGACUGAGACACGGCCCAAACUCCUACGGGAGGCAGCAGUAGGGAAUCUUCGGCAAUGGACGAAAGUCUGACCGAGCAACGCCGCGUGAGUGAAGAAGGUUUUCGGAUCGUAAAACUCUGUUGGUAGAGAAGAACGUUGGUGAGAGUGGAAAGCUCAUCAAGUGACGGUAACUACCCAGAAAGGGACGGCU